UAACCUGCCCAAGAGAUCGGGAUAACACCUGGAAACAGAUGCUAAUACCGGAUAACAACAGAUGAUGCCUAUCAACUGUUUAAAAGAUGGUUCUGCUAUCACUCUUGGAUGGACCUGCGGUGCAUUAGCUAGUUGGUAGGGUAACGGCCUACCAAGGCUAUGAUGCAUAGCCGACGUUGAGAGACUGAUCGGCCACAUUGGGACUGAGACACGGCCCAAACUCCGUACGGGGAGGCAGCAGCC
This 243-nucleotide ribosomal RNA is filed under the name uncultured Lactobacillus sp. Its description in RNAcentral is "partial 16S ribosomal RNA". It matches the Rfam family "Bacterial small subunit ribosomal RNA", at positions 122 to 355 of the family's 1533-position model. Lineage: Bacteria; Bacillati; Bacillota; Bacilli; Lactobacillales; Lactobacillaceae. The record is from RNAcentral.